AAUUCGAAGCGCCCCGCAAGGGGAGCGGCAGACGGGUGAGUAACGCGUGGGAAUCUACCUUUUGCUACGGAAUAACUCAGGGAAACUUGUGCUAAUACCGUAUGUGCCCUUCGGGGGAAAGAUUUAUCGGCAAAGGAUGAGCCCGCGUUGGAUUAGCUAGUUGGUGGGGUAAAGGCCCACCAAGGCGACGAUCCAUAGCUGGUCUGAGAGGAUGAUCAGCCACACUGGGACUGAGACACGGCCCAUACUCCUACGGGAGGCAGCAGUGGGGAAUAUUGGACAAUGGGCGCAAGCCUGAUCCAGCCAUGCCGCGUGAGUGAUGAAGGCCCUAGGGUUGUAAAGCUCUUUCACCGGUGAAGAUAAUGACGGUAACCGGAGAAGAAGCCCCGGCUAACUUCGUGCCAGCAGCCGCGGUAAUACGAAGGGGGCUAGCGUUGUUCGGAUUUACUGGGCGUAAAGCGCACGUAGGCGGACUUUUAAGUCAGGGGUGAAAUCCCAGAGCUCAACUCUGGAACUGCCUUUGAUACUGGAAGUCUUGAGUAUGGUAGAGGUGAGUGGAAUUCCGAGUGUAGAGGUGAAAUUCGUAGAUAUUCGGAGGAACACCAGUGGCGAAGGCGGUUCACUGCACCAUUACUGACGCUGAGGCGCGAAAGCGUGGGGAGCAAACAGGAUUAGAUACCCUGGUAGUCCACGCCGCAAACGAUGAAUGUUAGCCGUCGGGGUGUUUACGCUUCGGUGGCGCAGCUAACGCAUUAAACAUUCCGCCUGUGCAGUACGGUCGCAAGAUAAAAACUCAAAG
This 799-nucleotide ribosomal RNA is filed under the name Brucella cytisi. Its description in RNAcentral is "bacterial SSU rRNA". It matches the Rfam family "Bacterial small subunit ribosomal RNA", at positions 59 to 906 of the family's 1533-position model. The record is from RNAcentral. Lineage: Bacteria; Pseudomonadati; Pseudomonadota; Alphaproteobacteria; Hyphomicrobiales; Brucellaceae.